RNAcentral lists this long non-coding RNA (279 nucleotides) under Sorghum bicolor (sorghum). RNAcentral's name for it is "long non-coding RNA (SBIC_LNC017893)". Lineage: Eukaryota; Viridiplantae; Streptophyta; Magnoliopsida; Poales; Poaceae. The record is from RNAcentral.
CGUUUGCGAGUACAUGCGGUGUACAAAAUUUACACCUUCUAAACGAUGCUCAAAGUAAGUAGCAUGUGUAUACAUUAAAUUCAUAUCUUAUUUAUUUGUUGAAACAAGAUAAAUCUUAUGUAUAUUAAUAUCUUUUCCUUUAAUUAAUGCAAAUGGAAGGAGUGGGAAUGGAAAGAACAAGUGUUGGACCACACAAUACUCGUCGCAAUCUAGGAGACGAUCGCAGAUUUCAUCAACGAUCAUGUCAUCCUGGAAGACGCCGAGUUCCACUACACCCCU